This is a non-coding RNA of Oncorhynchus kisutch (coho salmon), 73 nucleotides long. NCBI's taxonomy places the organism in Eukaryota, Metazoa, Chordata, Actinopteri, Salmoniformes, Salmonidae. The record is from the annotation of a RefSeq genome assembly.
CACCGCGUGGCUCAGUUGGUAGAGCAUGACGCUGGCAACGUCAGGGUUGUGGGUUCGAUUCCCAUGGGGGUCC